UGCAGGGUAUAGACCCGAAACCCGGUGAUCUAGCCAUGGGCAGGUUGAAGGUUGGGUAACACUAACUGGAGGACCGAACCGACUAAUGUUGAAAAAUUAGCGGAUGACUUGUGGCUGGGGGUGAAAGGCCAAUCAAACCGGGAGAUAGCUGGUUCUCCCCGAAAGCUAUUUAGGUAGCGCCUCGUGAAUUCAUCUCCGGGGGUAGAGCACUGUUUCGGCAAGGGGGUCAUCCCGACUUACCAACCCGAUGCAAACUGCGAAUACCGGAGAAUGUUAUCACGGGAGACACACGGCGGGUGCUAACGUCCGUCGUGAAGAGGGAAACAACCCAGACCGCCAGCUAAGGUCCCAAAGUCAUGGUUAAGUGGGAAACGAUGUGGGAAGGCCCAGACAGCCAGGAUGUUGGCUUAGAAGCAGCCAUCAUUUAAAGAAAGCGUAAUAGCUCACUGGUCGAGUCGGCCUGCGCGGAAGAUGUAACGGGGCUAAACCAUGCACCGAAGCUGCGGCAGCGACGCUUAUGCGUUGUUGGGUAGGGGAGCGUUCUGUAAGCCUGUGAAGGUGUGCUGUGAGGCAUGCUGGAGGUAUCAGAAGUGCGAAUGCUGACAUAAGUAACGAUAAAGCGGGUGAAAAGCCCGCUCGCCGGAAGACCAAGGGUUCCUGUCCAACGUUAAUCGGGGCAGGGUGAGUCGACCCCUAAGGCGAGGCCGAAAGGCGUAGUCGAUGGGAAACAGGUUAAUAUUCCUGUACUUGGUGUUACUGCGAAGGGGGGACGGAGAAGGCUAUGUUGGCCGGGCGACGGUUGUCCCGGUUUAAGCGUGUAGGCUGGUUUUCCAGGCAAAUCCGGAAAAUCAAGGCUGAGGCGUGAUGACGAGGCACUACGGUGCUGAAGCAACAAAUGCCCUGCUUCCAGGAAAAGCCUCUAAGCAUCAGGUAACAUCAAAUCGUACCCCAAACCGACACAGGUGGUCAGGUAGAGAAUACCAAGGCGCUUGAGAGAACUCGGGUGAAGGAACUAGGCAAAAUGGUGCCGUAACUUCGGGAGAAGGCA
RNAcentral lists this ribosomal RNA (1048 nucleotides) under Escherichia coli. Its description in RNAcentral is "partial 23S ribosomal RNA". It matches the Rfam family "Bacterial large subunit ribosomal RNA", at positions 701 to 1748 of the family's 2925-position model. The record is from RNAcentral. Lineage: Bacteria; Pseudomonadati; Pseudomonadota; Gammaproteobacteria; Enterobacterales; Enterobacteriaceae.